CUUCAUCGCCGCCGAGUUCAUAUCAUCUACCCCUCCGUUUCGAAUGGUAGGUUAUUUCAACCUUUUUUAAAAAAUUAAAAAAAUCUUAAAUUUGAUCAAAUUUAUACAAUAAAGUAUUGACAUUUAUGAUAUCAAAUAAUUACUAUUAGAUUCUUCAUUAAAUAUAUUUUCAUAUUACAUAUAUUCGGUACUAUAAAUCUUCAUAAUUCUCAGUAUAAUUUUGGUCAAAUAUAAAAUAGUUUGACUCUCCAAGAAAGUUGGAAGGACCUGUAAUUUGAAAUGGAGGGAGUAGGUAGGUUGAACACCCCACACACACCCCUAUAAAUCUGCUUCCGGAGGAGUUCGAACCUGGAACCUCCUAUUGAGUCCGGUGCUACUUGAACUUUCUGGUCACCAACCGGUCCAGGCCCGUUCGCACACAAGUUUUUCCUUUAGCUCGCCUACUAAUAAUGUUGCUGACUCGUAAACGAGCCCAAUGCUGUUUUUACAGGUGACCGCUCAAAACAAAUUCUCCAGUUGAUCCACCGCUGCCUCUUCCUUUCUUUUUUUUCGACCUGAGCCCCCGUCCCGUCCUUAUCUCUUCUUUCAUCCGCCCAUCCUUAUCUUAGUUGCUUUUUCUUUCCUUUUCCCUUUUC
This 635-nucleotide long non-coding RNA is filed under the name Setaria viridis. RNAcentral's name for it is "long non-coding RNA (SVIR_LNC000966)". The record is from RNAcentral. Lineage: Eukaryota; Viridiplantae; Streptophyta; Magnoliopsida; Poales; Poaceae.